GGGAAGGUAACAGCGCUCUAUGCAGUCAUUCUGGCCACAUGACCUUGGAAGUGUCUAUGUCUAAGCUCUUCGGCUUAGAAAUGGAGAUGAGCACCAACCCCCAGAGUCAGACAUGACUGGACGUAACGUCAGGGGAAACUUUUACCUACCUUUACCUUACCUGAAUCCAUAUUAUAAGAAUUGGGUCCGCAUAAAUCACUUCAAAAAGUUGGACUAGGGCAUCAAAUAUUUAGAUACAUCACUAUAAUGUGUCUUUAUGGUGGCAUGGUCCAACAUUCUAGUCAGUUCUCAUAUACCCUAAAUGCACCAGAUCCUAAAUGAUCUCGGAAAGUAAGCAGGUACAGCUCUUAGAUUGAAGACCACCAAUGAAUGCCAGAUGUUGUAGUCUGUAUUUCAAAGGAAAGAACUGGCAAAGCAACCUCUGAGUAUUCCUUGUCUAAGGAAAUUCUGGAAAUCCAUGGGGUUACUAUAGCCUGACUUGAAGGCGAUUUAUGGACAUGCAAACACUAUGCAGCACAUGACUCAGAUAUCUAAACUUCUUCAUAUUAGCUUCUAAUUUGUUUCUGAGGCCAUUUCAAAGCACUUAUUUUAAGACAAAGUAUCCCAUUUAAAGCUCUAAACAUUUUCUGGGAAGAAAAUAUUAAUGGCCACUUCCUCCUAUACAGAUUGAAUCAUUCUUUUGGAUUUUCCUCAAACACAUCCUAUCAUUGAAAUGAAUCUACUUUAGUUUAACCAAAUGCAGUACAAAUUAUAGUACUGGGUCUAUGUGUGCCUCACAAGAUUUUUUUAAAGACCCAUAUCUUUUCUGGAAAAAAAUGUGACUCAUCUUUUCUAGAAAUAUUGGAGUGACCAUUCAACCCAUUGGGAUCAUAUCACCCAUUGCAGCAUUGAACCAAAUAUCAUUUUUUCAAAAACAGAAAUGGAUUUCUAACAGCUUCUGGUUUGACUUCUUUUUCCAAUUUUGACAGUUUGUAAAAUCUUCAAAGGGCUCCAGGGAAAGAAAUUAUGAUUUUCAACUGGAAUUUACUAGGGAGCCAUAUACACGUGCCAGAAAUUGUGAUGUUGAUCCGGAGUGAAUUACUGUGGAUCACAGCUGUUGAAGUCCGCAUUGGUCAGCCAUUGUUCCACACUUAACCAGCCCAGGGGAUUGAUGGUGUCUGCACAGCCCAGUGACACCAGAACCAAUUUGGUGCUGCUGGACCACCAUCAUCACCUUCCCCCUGUCGUUCUGGUCUUGGUGGCAGUCACCAACCCUGAAACUGGCAGUGACUCUUACUUGCACCAUUCUGAGACUACCUGGACCAACAAAGCAACAUGAAGGAGAGGGGGGAGGAAGGAGGAACCACUCCCUCCCUAUUUGACUGCUUUUUGCCACAGCUUGCAUCACUACAAGUGCUGAACAAUGACCACCCCCAAUUUCAUACCCAGUGAUCUCUGCUAAGGACAGAUGAAUGGGGGAAGGUAAGUGCCAUCCCCUGUAUGAACAACUAUGGCCACUUCUGACUAGAGAGCAACCCAACUAUUUACACUGCCACAAAGUGCAGGCAAACUUUGGAGCUUCAGAAAAUACAGAUGUCAUGAAGUAGGUUCAGCUACACAUCAGCUCAUUUGAUCCAUGUGCAUGUGCCCUAUGCCAUUUAAGAGUUAUGUAAUCUAGGAUUGAACAUUUAGAACUGCUUUAUGUUCACAGUCCUAUAUUUUCUCUUGUUUAGGAAAUAUGGAAGCUCCACAAUCCCAAUCACCAGGUAGUAGCCAUUGUGAUUAAUGUGGAUCUGUUCCCCUGUUGUUUUGGAAGCAGCCAACAUUCUGACCCACCAUCCCUCAACCUCCACGCCUCAUAUGAGUGAUUUCUGGCCUGGUAGGGAAUUGAGGCAGUAACCUUAUUUCUGUCUUUCACAAUGAUAGUUUAAGAUAGAGAAGGGAAAAAUCUGUAAAUCUUGUUUUCUCUUUUAUCCUUUUUUAUCUUUGUGUUCUUUUCGUCAUCGUCGUCGUCAUCAUCAUCAUCAUCAUCAUCAUCUUUAUUUAUAUCCCUCCCCAUCUCCUGAAGGGACUCGGGGCAGCUCACAACAUAAAUAAUACAAAAAAUACAAUACAAUAAAUUACACAGAGUAGGGUAACCUAAUUAAUAACAUAACCAAUGAAUAUAGAACAACAAGAUACAAUCCAAUACAAAUAAGCAAGAAAAUUAACAAUAAAUAUUAUAAAACAUUAGAUUAAAAACACAAUUGUUUCUAUGAGCUGCUACCUCAAACAAGGUAUAUCCAUAUCACAGAGAUUGAUUAAUCAUUGUUAAAAGACUGUUUAAAAAGCCACGUCCUCAAUUCCCUCCUAAAUGUUGUAAGGGAGGGAUGUUGUCUAAUCUCCCUUGGGAGGGCGUUCCAGAGUCGGAGGGCCACUACUGAGAAGGCCCUCUCCCUCAUCUCCACCAACCUGUGAAGGAGGCGGGAUCGAGAGAAGGGCCUCCCCAGCUGAUCGUAAGGCCCAAAUGGGUUCAUAAGGGCGGGAUGCAGUCACGUAAAUAGGCAGGACCUGUGCUGUGCUGAGCUUUAUAGGUGAUGGCCUGCACUUUGAAUUGGGCCCAGAAGCAUUGCGCAAAUAUGAAGAAAUUUGUAAAUUUGUAUAUAAAUUUUUGAAAAAUGAUCAGAAAUGAACCCCCUCCCCCCAUCUGCACCAAUCAAAUUCAAGAGACACCAAUGAAGGGGGCCACAAUAAACACCAAUCUAAUUCAAGAGGCACAACUGUUUCCACCAGUGAAGGGGAACAUGGUAAGCAGUUUCUCAUAAACAAGAGAUAGUAACUAAUUCAGCACAAAUAUGGCUCAAUGUAUUUCAAACCUAUACUUUGUGACUAGAUUUGUCAGGUUUGUUUACUUUCAAAUUUAAUUUGAUUUGUUAAAUCUUAAGGUCUUACUAUCCUAAAGACUAAAAAAGUGAAUUUAGGGAAAUUCUUAACAAAAAGGAAGAGGCAUGAAAUCCUCACCUAUUCCUACUAGUAAUUAAGGAUGUAUGAUGGCCUAUUUUAUGCUUAUCCAUUAAAAAUUACAUUGCAAGAAAUUUCUUGCAAGAUUACUAAACAUUUGCAGAUUUUUGAUUGUGAGUUUUUGUUUUGUUUUGCUCAUUUUUAUUACUUUUGCAAAAGUUUUCUCAAGGUUUUGUGCACAACAAACAUUAUGCAAUGUGUCUUUCCUUCUGUGUGCACAAAAGAGAGAUUUUGCAUAAAAUAUAUUAUCUACACAAUACAGCAUUUUCUGUCAAAAAUGGGAAAAAACUGGUCUUUCCACUUUCAAGCAGGUCCAAAACUGUCAUGGGUUUGACAACAUUUUCAGUGGAGUUUCUUGAUAUGUUGAAACAUUCUUCCUCAAUGAGAAUGAAAACAUGUGUGAUUAUGGUUACAGAUGGUGAAAGAAAUUCAAAUAUCAAGAUUAGUGAAAGGAAUCUGUCUGGGGACCUAUGGAGUUACUGUCAAAUGCAAAAUAAUGGACCAACUGAAGCAAUGUUGUUGCUGAACAUAAAGCAAGUUCUUAUAUAUAACUAUUUUCUCUCACACUGUAUUCUUAUUUUUCACCACAUUAAGUUAGGUCAGUAUUCUUUAUGUGCUAUGAACCUGAAAGUGCAAACACAAAACUAUACAAAGUUGUUGAUAAUUUAACUGUAUCUUCUGGCCUUCAUGUGCUGCGAAGAUUUUGCCUAGUGAAUGGUGCUUGUUUGACAAAGAUUUAAAUUCCAUUGAACCAUGCCCUCAAAGAGCAUGAGUUUUAGGUUGUGAACAUUGCUGCCAGUCUUGUGUUCAAUGUGUGAUGAAGGGCAAAUGAAAAUUACGUUCAAUAGCCAAACAAGCUGCUAAAAAUGUCAAACAGACCUGCGCUUGGGAACUAGUGGAGCGAAUAACAAACACAAGGCAAUGUGCAGAAUGCAACCACUUUAAUACUAUCAGGCUUUGAAUAUGAUUUUGUAGAGAAAAGCUGGGUGUAUGUGAAGAGAAUUAAGAAAUAUAAGAUGCAGGAGGGGAGAAAUAUUGCUGUUCUCUUUUCUGUGGAUGCUGAUUCUUUAUUCAUAGAAUCAUAGAAUAAUAUAGUUGGAAGAGACUUCAUGGACGAUCCAGUCCAACCCCCUGCCAAGAAGCAGGAAAUCACAUUCAAAGCACCCCCAACAGAUGGCCAUCCAGCCUCUUCUUAAAAGCCUCCAAAGAAGAAGCCUCCACCACAGUCUGGGCGAGAGAGUUCCAGUGUCGGACAGGUCUCACAGUGAGGAAGUUCUUCCUGAUGUUCCUACAGUUUGAAGGUAAAGGUUUCCCCGACGUAAAGUCCAGUCGUGACUGACUCUGGGGGUUGGUGCUCAUUUCUAUUUCUAAGCCGAAGAGCCGGCAUGUCCGUAGACACCUCCAAGGUUAUGUGGCCAGCAUGACUGCAUGGAGUGCCAUUACCUUCCCGCAGGAGUGGUACCUAUUGAUCUACUCACAUUGGCAUGUUUUCGAACUGCUAGGUUGACAGGAGCUGGAGCAACAGCUGGAGCAACAGCGGGCGCUCACGCCGCUCCCGGGAUUUGAAUCUGGGACCUUUUGGUCUCCAGCUCAGUGCUUUAACGCACUUUGCCACCGGGGCUCCUCAAUGGAUUGUCACCUUGACGUGGUGAGGGGGCUUGCAUGUUCCAAUGAACCUGAGGGCACAACCAUGGGAGUCACACACUCCCAGGAGUGGCCACAGGGGAGGAUCCAGACCAAGAACAAUCCGAAGACCCAAAGACCUCAACGGCGGAGCAGGCGGAGGAUAACAUGGUACAUGUUACAACUGCUGUGAAGGCGGAAGAAGGCUGCAACAGACUGAGAAGCCACUCUCGUUGUGUUAAUCACACCACUGUUGGGACCUCAAUCUGUGAAGACUGUGUGUUGACCAUCCGUGCACCGACCUCCACACAGUAAAAAAAUCACGCACAGGCGUCUUCCAAGAAAUGGAGGACCAUCAUCCUCGAACUAUGAGGGAUCGCCUAACACAGUUUGAAGCCAUUGUUCCGCAUCCUAGUCUCCAGGGCAGCAAAAAACAAGCUUGCUCCCUCCUCCCUAUGCCUCCCCCUCACAUAUUUAUACAUGGCUAUCAUGCCUCCUCUCAGCCUUCUCUUCUGCAGGCUAAACAUGCCCAGCUCUUUAAGCUGCUCCUCAUAGGGCUUGUUCCCUAGACCCUUGAUCAUUUUAGUUCCCCUCCUCUGGACACCUUCCAGCUUGUCAACAUCUCCCUUCAAUUGUGGUGCCCAGAACUGGACACAGUAUUCCAGGUGUGGUCUGACCAAGGCAGAAUAGAGGGGUAGCAUGACUUCCCUGGAUCUAGAUGCUAUACUCCUAUUGAUGCAGGCCAAAAUCCCAUUGGCUUUCUUAGCAGCCGCAUCACAUUGUUGACUCAUGUUUAACUUGUUGUCCAUGAGGACUCCAAGGUCUUUUUCACACAUACUGCUGUCGACCCAGGCGUCCCCCAUUCUGUAUCUUUGCAAUCCAUUUUUUUCUGCCUAAGUGGAGUAUCUUGCAUUUGUCCCUGUUGAACUUCAUUUUGUUAGUUUCAGCCCAUCUCUCUAGUCUGUUAAGAUCAUUUUGAAUUCUGCUCCUUUCUUCUGGAGUGUUAGCUAUCCCUCCCAAUUUGGUAUCGUCUGCAAACUUGAUGAUCAUACCUGCUAACCCUUCGUCUAAGUCAUUAAUAAAGAUGUUGAACAGAACGGGGCCCAGGCACACACACACACACACACACACUCCUGCUUAUGGCACUCCACUUGUCACUUUUUUCCAGGAUGAAGAAGACGCAUUAGUGAGCACCCUUUGGAUUUGUUUGCUUAGCCAAUUACAGAUCCAUCUAACUGUAGUUUUGUUUGUAUUCACAAACCAAUCUAAACCAAAUUACUGCUGAAUGAUAAGAUCAUCUUAUUAAGGUGUCACAUUUAAUGGAGGACUGGUGGUUAAUAUUCUAGAACUGUGAGUGGGAAAUCUAUGACGGUUAGUGGGCAAAAUUGGGUUAAUUAUUCUCUUGUUCUGAUCUACUUCACAGAAUGUCUGGAAUGAUAAGAAAGCAUGGAAGAAAAGAAGGUGGUUGUGGAGGAGCCAUGUUUCCUGCAUUUAGUUUAUUUGGAAUUAAAUUCAAAUAACUAAUUAUUGAAAUUAAAGUUUUGAUGUCAAACUAAAUCAUCAGCUGUAGAAGACAGUGAAAUGAAGGAUCAUCGCUCUGCAAAGUUCCUCGGAGCUCAGAGAAAGAAGAACAAGGGGGAAGCAACAAAAUUGUCAAGUAGAUGGAUACAGUCUCUUAAUACCAGCCAUAAUGGAGAAAGAGCUUGCCAUCAUGCAAAUUUCUGCUUAGUGUGCGAAAAGCAUUCUCAGAGGUUUUACAUCAAUGUCAGGCUGGUGCCUACUGUGGAUUCAAAACAUGUGGUGAAUUGUAAUGUAAAUGUAUAAUACAUUCAUUUCCUGAAGGGUUUUAAAAAUAUUUUAUUUUAGUGAAUUACAAUGUAUAUAUUUUUAAAAAAUACAAUGUUGAAAAAGUUGUUAGAUAUAAUGCCUAAUAUUUAGUUAAAAUCAAGUGCUAAGCUUUUUAAAAAACUAUCUGUUUCAUAUUGAAGCAACAAGUAUUUGUUAUUGCAUGUUGUAUUUGAACAACAAAACAGUUCUGAUUUACUGAAACAGAAUGAAACAAAACUCAGUGUAGGCUCUUAUACAUGUCUAGCUCAUGCAGAAUUCUCUCCUCUACUUGGCUAAACAGAAAAGAGCAAUCAAAAUGUUUAUGCUAAGGAGGAAAAUCCCAGCAUAUAUACUGAGAGUGGGAAUUAUGUGGCUCCCCAGAUGAUAUUGGACUGAAAGUCUCAGCAGCUCAGCUACCAUAGCCAAUGAUGAGGAAUGUGGUAAGUCAAGAUCAGCAACAUCUGGGGAAUCACAUAUUUUUGUGAGAUGUGCCCUGAAAGAGACUGAAUGAGCUAUGACUGAACAGCAAAGGAAACUUGGUAUUGUGGUCAGUGAAAGGUUGGCUUGGUUCAGAUGGGAUCACACCAGAAAACCCUGCCAUGUUGUGUAUGGACAGUACGCUAGUAACAUUACAAUUCCCACAUUUCCAUAGCAUUGAGCCAUGCUAUUUAAAGUGGAUCAAGCUGUAUUUAUACUUUUCAGUUGCCGAAACAUCUGAAUGUUACAAGCUAACUGAACAUUGUGUUCAUCUUUCUCUUUUAAUGUAAUGCUUCUACUGAUGACAUCUUUUCAGAACUCUUUUCAAAACAGUUUUCUAUAAAUGACAGCUGUUAAAUGGAACUUCUCGUUUGUCUGCUUUAAAUAGUAGUUUUGCAAAGUAGAUUUUUUCUUCUUUUUACUGACUAAAAUGACAUGUUUGGUAAGUCUGGAGUCUCACUUAUUGAAAAUAGGGAUAAAAGUCCAAAAAUGCAUAGGAUAUCUAUAUCCAUAGUUAUGCCCAAUAAAUACAGAGAAAGUAAGCCCUGGAAAAUCUCACCGUAUAUUUGAUGAAUAUGCAGAUUGCAUAUACUAAUGGACUAGUUUUUGAUUCAGACUGACCCUACAGUAAUGAAUCGGAUAACAUAGCACAACAUCACUGAGAAUUUUAGAAAAGAUAAUCUUUGUUACUUUUUUCUAAAUAAAUUUGAAUAUGCUUCUCCAAGGGUGAAAGAAAUACCAUAGAUAAAACCCUAGAUCAGUGGUUAUAUUAAUUUAUACCUGGCUUUAUCUCCCCAAAGGAGAGCCAUAAAGUUGGGAGCCAUCAUUCUAGAACUCCAGUGAUAAACAACAUCGUCAGAUCUAGGGUACAUUUACAUUGUAGAAUUAAUGCAGUUUCAUACUGCCAUUUAAUUGUCAUGGCUCAAUACUAUGAGGAGAGGCAGGUAAGAAAUAGCAUUAUUAUUAUUAUUAUUAUUAUUAUUAUUAUUAUUAUUAUUCAUGGGAAUUGUAGAUUUGCAUGGUUUUUAGCCUUCUCUGCACAAUACGUCUGGUGCUCCACUAAACUACAGCUCCUAUUUGUCCAUAUCAUUGAACCCUGACAGUUAAAAUGAUAUCAAACAGCAUUAAUUAUAUAGCAUAGAGUCCUCGUUGCUUGAUACAUUUAGGCCACAAUGCCACACACAGUUAUAUGGAAGUAAGUCUCAAUGAUGUAGGUGGAGCUUACCUUGGAGUCUAGAUACAUAGGACUGCACUACUUAAACUGAUUCCAUUUUCUCUUUUGUGACUUUAUAUCAUUGAUACAGUUUUGUGACUGAUGUUGACAUCAGUCAUUCCAUUUUAGUAACAAGGUCUUUCUUAUUAUUUCUGCUGGUUCCUUUUACUGUAUUGGAGAAUUUUGCUGAGUUGCAAGUAAAGUAAUGACCAGUAAUGUGAAAGAUAUCAGCCAAGAGGCAGGGACUGAAGGGCUUCAGGAUUCUUCUCAUGUAGUUUUCUGAUUUCUAGUGGCAUUUAAGAUUGAUAUACCUAUUUGUCACAGUAGUUCUGAAGUAACCCAUUGGUAUUAAGUGGCUUGGGAAACAUGCCCUCUGUAACUGAGUCUGAAACUGUGCCUCUAAUACUGAGUCUUUCUUAUAAGUCUUCAGUGCUAGGCUUUAACUCCUCUUGAGGGGUUUCUUGUAGACGCCAAGCAAAAGCAAGCAAGGGGUUAAACAGCUGCCAUUCUGCUUUGACACAUAUUGGUUUAUUCCAUAUAAGAGCCUAAUAUUAAUGCACUUGAGGUGCUUAUUGCUGUUGUAAAAUAUUGAAUGAAAAUACAUAAUGCAAUGUGACAUGUGAGAGUGCACAUUUAAAUGAAAGCGGAGCUCACAUAUUGUUUUUACACGGUACCUGCCAGUCAAGCCAAAAGUUUAUGAAGAGCCAAAAAGCAAUUUUCAGUCAUGUAGAGUAUAUCAUUCAGGUCAGAUUCUUUUAUGUAAAUCCCUUUCACUUGGGUGUUUAAAU
Molecule: long non-coding RNA, 8907 nt
Organism: Anolis carolinensis (green anole)
Lineage: Eukaryota; Metazoa; Chordata; Lepidosauria; Squamata; Anolidae
Exons: 2
Source: RefSeq, a predicted model, not a curated record